ACGAACGCUGGCGGCGUGCUUAACACAUGCAAGUCGAACGAUGAAGCCCUUCGGGGUGGAUUAGUGGCGAACGGGUGAGUAACACGUGGGCAAUCUGCCCUUCACUCUGGGACAAGCCCUGGAAACGGGGUCUAAUACCGGAUAACACUCUGUCCCGCAUGGGAUGGGGUUAAAAGCUCCGGCGGUGAAGGAUGAGCCCGCGGCCUAUCAGCUUGUUGGUGGGGUGAUGGCCUACCAAGGCGACGACGGGUAGCCG
This 256-nucleotide ribosomal RNA is filed under the name Streptomyces sp. ISO367_OTU243. RNAcentral describes it as "partial 16S ribosomal RNA". It matches the Rfam family "Bacterial small subunit ribosomal RNA", at positions 29 to 289 of the family's 1533-position model. Lineage: Bacteria; Bacillati; Actinomycetota; Actinomycetes; Kitasatosporales; Streptomycetaceae. The record is from RNAcentral.